Molecule: ribosomal RNA, 335 nt
Filed under: Diplocentrus melici
Lineage: Eukaryota; Metazoa; Arthropoda; Arachnida; Scorpiones; Diplocentridae
Description: partial 12S ribosomal RNA
Source: RNAcentral
UAAAAUAUUAUUAAUUGGGUAGUAAAGAAAGCUCCGAAACCUAAAGAAUUUGGCGGUGUUUUAAAUAAUUGGAGGAAUCUGUUAAUUAAUUGAUACACCACAACAAAUCUCUCCUUGUUCUUGUUUGUAUAUCGUCAUUUCCAGACAAUAUUUAAAAAUUAUAGUCAAAACUAAAAAAUCUUCAUAAAUUAGAUCAAGGUGCAGCAUAACAAGGUUCUAAUGGAUUACAAUAUUCAUAAAAUAUUACAAAUAAGAAAAAUAAAUUUUUCUUUGAAGGCGGAUUCAAAAGUAAAUUUAAAUUAAAAUGUUUUUUUGAAUAAUAAUUUAAAACAUGC